Non-coding RNA from Peromyscus maniculatus bairdii (prairie deer mouse), 134 nucleotides. The record is from RefSeq and is a predicted model, not a curated record. NCBI's taxonomy places the organism in Eukaryota, Metazoa, Chordata, Mammalia, Rodentia, Cricetidae.
GUGAAUAAUCUCCUGUCCUACUAUCCUAGCACCCAUCUGGGAGCCCAGCCUUUCUCUGAUCAUCUAUCAAGGAAAUAUUGGCAUUUUUUAUUCAAUGUGCAGUGUUUUCUAGGUGACUCAGAUCAGGUUUGUGG